This 745-nucleotide long non-coding RNA is filed under the name Prunus dulcis (almond). Its description in RNAcentral is "sRNA ncRNA". Lineage: Eukaryota; Viridiplantae; Streptophyta; Magnoliopsida; Rosales; Rosaceae. The record is from RNAcentral.
ACUAAAACACACGAUUUAGGGGUUUCUUCUUCCUUCUUCGAUUUUUUUCCUCUCCCUCUCUCUGAUUUCAGAGCGGCCGAACCCGAAGAACCUUUCCUUUCCUCUGCGUGAAACCAUUGUUGCAGCCAUCCUUGUUCUUCUUCAGCCGUCGCGCCGUCGUCCUCGUCACGCAAGCAGGUUCAAUUCUUCUGGCUUUCUUUUUUCUUUGUUUUUUCGUUUUGUUUCUUUUCCCCCUUCGAUUCUCUGUCUGACCAUCUCUAUGUCCUCCAUCAGCAGUUCGUGCAGAUCAUCAUCCAUAUUUCUGGAGUAGGUUGCAGCUUCGCACUCCUUUUUUUUCUCCCAUUGACGCAGCCGUCCGUGCACUCCUCCUCGUCAGUUUUCCAUUGAAGACUCUCUCUGUGCCAAAGGUGAAUUUCUCACUCUUCUGUAAAUGUUGUGGUCGGAGUGAAGCUGGACUCCAAGAGCAGAGAGCUGCUUACUUGGGCUCUGGUCAAAGUGGCUGGUGUUUUUUUUAAAAAAAAACUAACUGGUUUUGAUGAAUUGGGUAUGUGUAGAAAUUGUGGAUCAAGAUGGGAAGUCGUCACUUCUUUCCCCUGUGAAAGCGUUCGACUCUGUUGUUCUUGCCAUCUAUGAAGGUUUCUGCAACUUGAAACAGGUUCAUUUCUCGCAAAUUUUUGUUCUUUUAUUCGUUGGGAUUUUGUUGUCCUUUUGUAUAUUUAGUUAUAUCCUCUGGUUGUUUGCUUAG